ACUGUGAAAAGGACGUUUAUUUAGAGUAUGAGCAGGGGAACAAGGUGGGCUAUCACCCAGUUUGACUUCAGCUGGGGCCGUGGCCCCUGGUGACCACACUUUCACCCCUCUGCACAUGUGCAUGUCCACAAAUGACCACAAAAGCACCCAGAGUGUUGAUUUUAGAGUUACAAAUAAAUUUUAGCUAAAGGUGAAUUUGCGGAUACAGAAUCCACAAAUAAUGAAGGUCAACAAUAUGGAUGUAUUGUUGACCCUUAAAAAUAAAAUAGCCAGUUUUUAUUUUAUUUUAUUUUAUUUUUGUCUUUUUAGGGCCGCAUCCACAGCAUAUGGAGGUUCCCAGGCUAGGGGUCUAAUUGGAGCUGUAGCCUCCGGCCUACACAAGAGCCACAGAGCUGCAUCUGCAACCUACACCACAGCUCACAGCAACAUCACAUCCUUAACCCACUGAGCAAGGCCAGGGAGCAAACCCACCACCUCGUGGUUCCUAGCUGGAUUCAUUCCCACUGCGCCACAACAGGAACUUUUAAAUAAUUUUUUAUUAGAUUCCACAUAUGUGAUAUCACAUGAUGUUUGUCUUUGACUUCAGUUAGUGUAAUAAUCUCUAGGUCCAUCCAUGUCACUGCAAAUAGCAUUAUUAUUAUUUUUUUGUCUUUUUGCCAUUUCUUGGGCCGCUCCCACUGCACAUGGAGGUUCCCAGGCUAGGGGUUGAAUUGGAGCUGUAGCCGCCGGCCUGCGCCAGAACCACAGCAACGCGGGAUCUGAGCCGCAUCUGUGACCUACACCACAGCUUAUGGCAAUGCCGGAUCGUUAACCCACUGAGCAAGGCCAGGGACCGAACCUGCAACCUCAUGGUUCCUAGUCGGAUUCGUUAACCACUGUGCCACAACGGGAACUCCAGCAUUAUUAUUAUUUUUUUAAUAGGAAUUUUAUUUUAUUUUUUAUUUAUUUUUUGGUUUUUUGCUAUUUCUUUGGGCCACUCCAGCGGCAUAUGGAGGUUCCCGGGCUAGGGGUCGAAUCGGAGCUGUAGCCACUGGCCUACGCCAGAGCCACAGCAACACAGGAUCUGAGCCACGUCUGCAACCUACACCACAGCUCACAGCAACGCUGGAUCGUUAACCCACUAAGCAAGGGCAGGGACCGAACCCACAACCUCAUGGUUCCUAGUCGGAUUCGUUAACCACUGCGCCAUGACGGGAACUCCUAUUUUGUUUUUUAAGCAAAGUUGUAGGUAUAAAAAUCGUGGCUGAGUGUGAGAGCACGCCCCAAGCGACCCAGCUGGCGGGGUUCUGGGACAGAAGUUCAGGGGCCUGAAUGUGAGUUUACUGCAGGCUCUCUGAGCUCCCGGCUUCCCUCUGGCGGUGAGACAGGUGCAGACACAAAUGACAGGAUUCCGCAGAGAACAUGCAGCCCGCGAUAGGAGAGACCUGAUCUGGGAGCACUGAGA
This 1444-nucleotide long non-coding RNA is filed under the name Sus scrofa (pig). RNAcentral's name for it is "lncRNA (ENSSSCG00005006233.1)". Lineage: Eukaryota; Metazoa; Chordata; Mammalia; Artiodactyla; Suidae. The record is from RNAcentral.